AAACUGCGAUAAGUAGUGUGAAUUGCAUUUAGUGAAUCAUCGAAUCUUUGAACGCACCUUGCACUCACUGGUAUUCCGGUGAGUACGCCUGUUUCAGUAUCAUUGAAAACACACAAUCAAAACAUUUUCUUUGGUUUGAUUGGCUUUGGGUCUAUCAAAAAGUUUGGCUUGUUUCUUACAAGCCAAGCGGCCUGAAAUAUAUUGUCUGGCUAAUUGCAUCGUUGAUGAUCGCUAUUAGACUUUGGCUUUUUUAAAUGAACUGGAGGUUGAUUAACCAGUUUUAGCUUUAGUCAAAUGGUCAUUGUAAAAAAAUCUCGAUCUUGGCUAGGUGUUUAUAGCCGAAAAUUUUUUUUUGGCUAUAACCGAAACCAAUAUAAUCACAUUUAGUUAUCGAUCUGAAAUCAGGUGGGACUACCCGCUGAACUUAAGC
Molecule: unclassified non-coding RNA, 430 nt
Filed under: plant metagenome
Description: partial contains 5.8S ribosomal RNA, internal transcribed spacer 2, and large subunit ribosomal RNA
Rfam family: 5.8S ribosomal RNA (bases 1-102)
Source: RNAcentral